AACGCACCUUGCGCUCCUUGGUAUUCCGAGGAGCAUGCCCGCUUGAGUGUCUUGAUAUCAUCAAACGCCCCUGCCUUUUCUGGUGGGUCGGCGAUUUGGACUUGGACGUGCUGCUGGGCGCUCUGCGCUCGGCUCGUCUUGAAUGCAUUAGCUUGGACUUGUUCCUAAGGCUUCAUGGCGUGAUAAUUAUCUACGCUUUGUACUGUCUGUGGAAUAUCUAUGAGUCUAGCUUCUAACUGUCCUCUGGACAAUCUUUCAAUCUUUGACCUCAAAUCAGGUAGGACUACCCGCUGAACUUAA
RNAcentral lists this ribosomal RNA (300 nucleotides) under uncultured fungus. RNAcentral describes it as "eukaryotic LSU rRNA". Lineage: Eukaryota; Fungi. The record is from RNAcentral.